UGGAAGUAAAAGUCGUAACAAGGUUUCCGUAGGUGAACCUGCGGAAGGAUCAUUAAUAAAUGGUCUACGUUUUUAAGUAGACGCUUAAUAAUCCUACCCUUUGUGAAUUGUUUGUUUGAAAUAAUUUUUUUAGAAUUAUUGAAUGUCUUUCCCUGUUGAAUUGGUUGUCUUUAAUGGCAAGUGAUUCGCAGGGGAGUGUCAAUAAUUUUUAAAAAGACCUUUUUUAAAAUUAAACUUUUUGUAUUCAUUUGUCUAAAAAUUAUUUUAUAAUAUAAAAACAACUUUUGACAAUGGAUCUCUUGGUUCUCGCAACGAUGAAGAACGCAGCAAAAUGCGAUAAGUAGUGUGAAUUGCAGAAUACGUGAAUCAUCGAAUCUUCGAACGCAUAUUGCACUUUUUAGUUUACUAAAAAGUAUGUCUGUUUGAGUAUCAGUAAAAUAUUCUCAUAAAAACUUUUUGUUUUUAUGGUUAUGAGUGUUUUACAACGAUACAAGUUGUUUCACUUUAAAUUUUUUUAAAAUUUGAAUUUUUCUAAUUUUAAAAUAAAAUUGGAUAAAUUUUCCCGUAAAAGGAAUAACCUAAACAAUUUUAAUUUUUGAUUAGAAUUCUUCAUUCUAAAGGAAAAUUUAACUAAAUAACUUGAUCUCAAAUCAGAUAAGAGUACCCGCUGAACUUAAGCAUAUCAAUAAGCGGAGGAAAAGAAACUAACAAGGAUUCCCUUAGUAACGGCGAGUGAAGCGGGAAGAGCUCAAAUUUGAAAUCUUCAAGGUUUACCUUGACGAAUUGUAGUUUAAAGAAGUGUUUUCUGUUGAAGUUUUGGUAAAAGUUCUUUGGAAUAGGACAUCAUAGAGGGUGAGAAUCCCGUAUUUGACCAUUAUUUUCAGCUGUGUGAUACACUUUCAAAGAGUCGGAUUGUUUGGGAAUGCAGUCCAAAAUGGGUGGUAAAUUUCAUCUAAAGCUAAAUAUUGGCGAGAGACCGAUAGCGAACAAGUACCGUGAGGGAAAGAUGAAAAGAACUUUGAAAAGAGAGUUAAACAGUACGUGAAAUUGUCAAAAGGGAAGCGUUUGACACCAGUGUUGUUUUCUCGAAAAUCAAUUAAAAAGAGUUGGAUUUUGUGUUGUAUUGACCUUAACAGCUUGCUUCACUCUUUUCCAGCUUUUUUUAAUGCACUUUUCGUUUAACAAGUCAACAUCAGUUUCUUUUGUUGUAAAAGGGUCAUUGGAAGGUGGCUUUCUCUUCGGAGAAAGUGUUUAUAGCCUUUGAUCUCUGCAAUCGGAGAGAUGAGGUCUGCAGCGUAGAUCCUUCGGGUUAGAUACAUUUGUGCUAAGCUACAGCUUUUCAUAGACAACUUGUUGACUAUGUUUAGUCUUGUGACUUACCCGCUUAUGCUAUUUUACCU
Molecule: unclassified non-coding RNA, 1400 nt
Filed under: uncultured Neocallimastigales
Lineage: Eukaryota; Fungi; Neocallimastigomycota; Neocallimastigomycetes; Neocallimastigales
Description: partial contains small subunit ribosomal RNA, internal transcribed spacer 1, 5.8S ribosomal RNA, internal transcribed spacer 2, and large subunit ribosomal RNA
Rfam family: Eukaryotic large subunit ribosomal RNA (bases 641-1400)
Source: RNAcentral